RNAcentral lists this ribosomal RNA (429 nucleotides) under uncultured bacterium. RNAcentral describes it as "bacterial SSU rRNA". It matches the Rfam family "Bacterial small subunit ribosomal RNA", at positions 917 to 1344 of the family's 1533-position model. The record is from RNAcentral.
GGACCCGCACAAGCAGUGGAGCAUGUGGUUUAAUUCGAAGAUACGCGCAGAACCUUACCAACACUUGACAUGUUCGUCGCGAGACCAAGAGAUUGGUUUCUUCAUUUAGUUGGACGAAACACAGGUGCUGCAUGGCUGUCGUCAGCUCGUGUCGUGAGAUGUUGGGUUAAGUCCCGCAACGAGCGCAACCCCCUACUUUUAGUUGCCACCAUUAAGUUGGGCACUUUAAAAGAACUGCCAGUGAUAAGCUGGAGGAAGGUGGGGAUGACGUCAAGUCCUCAUGGCCCUUACGUGUUGGGCUACACACGUGCUACAAUGGCACUUACAAUGGGAAGCAAAGAGGUGACUCCUAGCUAAUCCCAAAAAUGUGUCUCAGUUCGGAUUGCACUCUGCAACUCGAGUGCAUGAAGCUGGAAUUGCUAGUAAUCG